GUGGGGAAUAUUGGACAAUGGGCGCAAGCCUGAUCCAGCAAUACCGCGUGUGUGAAGAAGGCCUUAGGGUUGUAAAGCACUUUCAAUAGGGAGGAAUACCUGUUGGCUAAUACCCGACAGAAUGACAUUACCUAUAGAAGAAGCACCGGCUAACUCCGUGCCAGCAGCCGCGGUAAUACGGAGGGUGCAAGCGUUAAUCGGAAUUACUGGGCGUAAAGCGUGCGUAGGCGGCUUAAUAAGCCAGAUGUGAAAGCCCUGGGCUUAACCUGGGAACUGCAUUUGGAACUGUCAAGCUAGAGUUGAGUAGAGGUAAGUGGAAUUUCAGGUGUAGCGGUGAAAUGCGUAGAGAUCUGAAGGAACACCAGUGGCGAAGGCGACUUACUGGACUCAAACUGACGCUGAGGUACGAAAGCGUGGGUAGCAAACAGGAUUAGAUACCCGAGUAGUCC
This 449-nucleotide ribosomal RNA is filed under the name uncultured bacterium. Its description in RNAcentral is "bacterial SSU rRNA". It matches the Rfam family "Bacterial small subunit ribosomal RNA", at positions 354 to 796 of the family's 1533-position model. The record is from RNAcentral.